This 266-nucleotide ribosomal RNA is filed under the name uncultured bacterium. Its description in RNAcentral is "partial 16S ribosomal RNA". It matches the Rfam family "Bacterial small subunit ribosomal RNA", at positions 89 to 353 of the family's 1533-position model. The record is from RNAcentral.
UGGCGACCGGCGCACGGGUGCGUAACGCGUAUGUAACCUACCUAUAACAGGGGCAUAACACUGAGAAAUUGGUACUAAUUCCCCAUAAUAUUCGGAGAGGCAUCUCUCCGGGUUGAAAACUCCGGUGGUUAUAGAUGGACAUGCGUUGUAUUAGCUAGUUGGUGGGGUAACGGCUCACCAAGGCAACGAUACACAGGGGGACUGAGAGGUUAACCCCCCCACACUGGUACUGAGACACGGACCAGACUCCUACGGGAGGCAGCAUG